UAUACUUGCAACAGCAGAAGUUGGGCUCUUUUUAAUGUAGCUCACGAAUAUGUUACAUAGCUUCUCAUACAUGGAUAUCACCAAUUACAAGGGGAGAGGCACCGGAGGCAAGGCAGGGUCAUAGUGCAGCACUUGUGUGUAGAAGGCUGCUCAUAUUUGGUGGGUAUGGAAAAUCUCCUGAUGAUGAGGAUGAAGUAUAUUAUAAUGAUCUCUUCAUAUUGAACACAAGUACAUUCUUUUUAAAAGUCGACAUUUCUUCUUUGCUUCUAGUCCAAAUUGACAUCUAUUUGUGAAAUUUCCCUGUCUGUGCGUAUGAGAGGUGGGUUUAAGACUUUACUUUCCAUGAAUGUUGUGUCCUCCAACUUAUUGAAGUACUAUACUUGUAGCAUGCGUCAUCAGUUACUACCGCUCGUCAAAUGUUUAUUGAUUUAGAUUGCAGAGUUCAGUAUUAUCUUCCUUGGGUAGACAAACAUACUGUUUCAUGCUCACAGUGAUUGACUGUCAGCUAGUCAGCUUUUCUCCAGUUGAGUGAUGGACUGUAGCUUGAAGGUUAGAGUGGAAUAGCUUUUGGGAAAGAGGAGCCUUAUGUUGUUUGCUUAUUCCCCUUUCAUCGCAUUGCAUUGAACAUAUAUAGUUCUUUAAGUUCAUGAAGGACGGUAGCAAUAUACUGAAAUAUUGUUUUGAGUUGAUGUUUCCUUAAAGUGUUCCUCUCACUUGAUUUGUUGUAAUAGCUUGCUAGAGACAUAAGAAACUUGUUUCAUUGCUUCUAAUUGAAUGAACUUGUGACUGCAUUUUCAAUCUGAAAUUUUCUCAACUGGUAAAUGAAGAACUUUGAGUGAGGUCCAAGGAUCAUAAAGCUGUUUACAAUCAGACUCUUGUGACGAUAGUGGUGGAUUUGAAAGCAGGGGUUCUAAGUCAUUGAUCUGAUAGUUUGACGUCCAGCACUGCUUAUAGGUAUGUAAUUCAUGUCGCAGUGGCCUACCAAUUUGCUAUGCUCGUGAUGCCUCUAUGUUUGAAUUUCAUCUAAUUUUUUGUAUCCAUGACAGCUUUCUGAGUCACUUCUUGUAUAUGACAAAGUUGUUAAUGCUUGCUUUUGAGAUAGACUUUACUUUACUAUGUCAACUUUCUAUGGCAAUGAUGGUUUUUGUUGAUUUUGGAAUGUUAAUUAUUUUUGCUGAUUGCUAGAUGUCUUCGUCGACGGAUUCUAGCCUCACAAAUAGAAGGAAGAGAUCCAUUAUGUGGGAUCACUUUAAAAGGAUUCCAUGUAUAGACAAGAAUCAAGAAAAGGCUGAAUGUUUAUAUUGCGGGGUCCACAUUGGUUGUUCUAGUACUCAAGGGACUAGUUCAAUGCAUCAUCAUUUAGAUAGAUGUAAGGAAUAUCCAUAUGCAAACAUCGAGAAAAGGCAAAAAAAUGCCUCGGGUCAACCUGUUGGGGUUGGUAGUUCACCAUGGAAAUUUGACCAAGAUGCUAGUAGAAAAGAACUAGCGACCAUGUUCAUUCUUGGUGAAUUGCCCUUUAAGUUUGUAGAAAAUGAGGGUUUUCGGCGAUUUGUGUAUAGAAUCCAGCCAAAGUUCUCACUCCCUACACGUAACACGUUGAGGAGUGAUUGUUAUGCGUUGUACAUGGAGGAAAGAAGAAAAUUGAUGAAAUAUUUUGCCAACACAUGUCCUAGAGUUUGUUUGACGACCGACACAUGGACCUCUUGUCAAAAUUUGACUUAUAUGUCUCUCACUGCUCAUUUUGUUGAUGCUGAUUGGAAGUUGCAGAAGAAAACCCUAAAUUUUUGUCAAAUCCGGGGUCAUUCUGCCGAGAUAAUAGGAAAGGCGGUUGUUGAAAAAUGUUUGACUGGUUGGGGGAUUCAAAGUAUUUUUUCCAUUACCGUGGAUAAUGCAAGUUCAAAUGAUUUGGGAAUUCAAUACUUGAAAAGAAGACUUAAUUCUUGGAACACUCUGGUAUUGAAAGGUGAAUUACUCCACAUGAGGUGUUUUGCUCAUAUAUUGAGUUUGAUUGUGAGAGAGGGGUUAAAAGACAUAAAUGAUUCCAUUGUUAGAAUACGUUCGGCUGUACGUUAUGUGAGGUCUUCUCCUGGGAGGUUGAGGCGGUUUAAGGAUUGUGUUGAACUAGAGAAUAUUGAGUCCAAGAGUCUUGUAUGUUUGGAUGUGGAGACUCGUUGGAACUCGACAUAUAUGAUGCUGGAGGCGGCUUUGAAGUUUCAAAAAGCUUUUUUCUUAUUGGAAAUUCAAGAUAGCAAAUUUGUUGAAGAACUGUCCAAGGCGAAAGGGUUGCCUACUAGUGAUGAUUGGGAUUAUGCUAGUCACCUUUUUCCUUUCCUGAAGUUGUUCUUUGAUACGACUUCAAAAGUUUCGAGUUCUUCUUAUGUCACUAGUAAUGAUUUGGCAAAGGAUGUCUAUGGGCUUUUUGGGAUGAUUAAUGAAUAUUGUGAGAAUGAGGAUAAAAGUUUGCAAGAAAUUGCUAAAAGAAUGAAGACCAAAUUCAAUAAGUAUUAUGGCAAUGUGAACAAUAUCAAUCUUAAUUUGUUCAUUGCUUGCAUACUUGACCCUCGACAUAAGUGGGAAUAUGUGAAGUAGUUGAUUAAUGAUGUUUAUGAGAGCAAGCAAGCAGAAAUUUUAUGUGAUAAGGUAACAUCAUCGCUGACAUCAUUGUACGAGCAAUACCGCACUGGUAAAUGCCCCCAAGGCAACUUGAGAUUAAAGGGUACAAGAACAGUAAAUGUGUCAAAGUCUCCAGUGGUUGGUGCGGACUUUAUGACUGCAAAGUAUCUUAGCCAAACGGGACAACAAAUUUUGGAAGAAAAAUCUGAAUUGGAUAAAUAUUUGGAGGAAGGAUGUGAACGUUAUAGCCCCGACUUUGAUAUCUUAACUUGGUGGAAAGUUAAUUCUUCAAGAUAUCCUAUCCUCUCUUCCAUUGCUCGAGAUAUUUUGGCCGUACCGGUCUCGACUGUAGCAUCAGAGGCCGCAUUCAGCACGGGAGGUCGUGUACUCGAUGUCUUUCGUAGCUCCUUGACCCCGAGAAUGGUGGAGGGUCUUAUAUGUGCUCAAGAUUGGCUACGAUCCUCUCCACUUUCACUUUCAAUUGAGGAUGACUUAGAAGAACAAGAAAAUUUUGAGUCAGAGUAUUCAACUACAAUUAUGGAGCCGAACUCGAUAUCGGUUUCUCUUGAUGAUUGAUGAAGUUGGAAAUUGGUACUUGCUAAACCAAUUUUUUUUAUUCUUAUUGCAAAUUUACUUGUAUCUUGAACAGAGUUUGCAAAUUUACUUGUAUUAUUGUAGUGGUUACUAUAUGGCAAUGCCUUGGUGAUUACUUGACCCCCUCAGAAAUAUCAUCUCCAAUGGGUCACUCAUCAUCGCAGUUCUUGAUGCAGGACAGGCAUUGUAUAAUCAUAAUAAAGAUUGAGUUAUCUAGCUCUUUUAAGUGUGUUAGGCUAAUUCUUGACAGCCUUUCUCAAUGAAUUUCCAUUUGUGUUUUCCCAAACGAUGUUGUUUGUUUCUCGAUCGUUGUCCAGGUCUUGUCAAUUGCUUCUCUAGCUUAUUUAUGCAGCUACUUGGAGUAGAAAAUAGACAGGUUCAUGUGGACACUCUAAAAAACAAUUGGUGUUUCUUUUGUUUUUGCAGCUGCUGUUUGCUCGGGAGUCCUUCGUAAAGACCAAGCCAGCGAAGGAGCAUGUGGUCGCCGGAUGGGAGCCGAAGGUCAAUGCAGCAUGAAUCGCUGCUUCUGCGUUAUGAGCGUUAGUUGAACUUUUGUUAUGGAAGUGUGGUUGAGGCUUGAGAGCUCUCUGCCUAUUAGUUAAGCCAAUAAAUAUACCGACUCAUCUCACCCUUGUUGGGCUUAUUGUUUUGUCAACGAAGCCUUAUCAAUGUACUUAGCCCCCUUCUGUUC
Molecule: RNA transcript, 3898 nt
Organism: Syzygium oleosum
Lineage: Eukaryota; Viridiplantae; Streptophyta; Magnoliopsida; Myrtales; Myrtaceae
Gene name: zinc finger BED domain-containing protein RICESLEEPER 2-like
Exons: 2
Source: RefSeq, a predicted model, not a curated record